RNA transcript from Rosa chinensis, 863 nucleotides. It is a transcript of the gene named inosine-5'-monophosphate dehydrogenase 2, with no coding region annotated. The record is from RefSeq and is a predicted model, not a curated record. NCBI's taxonomy places the organism in Eukaryota, Viridiplantae, Streptophyta, Magnoliopsida, Rosales, Rosaceae. The transcript is spliced from 4 exons.
UCCCUACGUCCUCGUCACUGAGUCCGGCGCCCCCAGCUCCAAGCUUUUGGGCUACAUGGCGAGCCGCGAUUGGGUGAAGCUGGCGAACAAGGAGGUCAAGAUUUACGAUUACAUGGUUAGCUGUAAGGACAUGGUUUUGCCUUGGAGCUCCGAUUUGGGGAAGAUUGAGGAGUUCAUGGCGGAUAAAGGCCGGGACGUGGCGGCGACGGUGAGGGACGACGAGGUUGUCGACGUUGUGGGGAAGGAGGACGUGGAGUCCAUCAAUGAGGGCUUCUUCAAUCUUUGGAUUUUGUGAAUCAGUGUUUGUGGUUGUUCAUCUUGGCACUGCGUUUUGGUAAUGCUUGUUGCUUUUAGGCAUUCGUCUUGGCUGCUCAUCAUCUCAUUUGCUGUUCAACGAAGUACGUUCUUUGGGUCUUCUUAUGGCUUCACUGGCACAUGGAAGGAAGCUCUUGAAUGGGCUUGUUAUUUCGCUUUUGCUUCCAUGUUUGAUAUUCUCUCAACUCAGACAAGCAAUCAUUGGGGAGAAAAUUCUCGAGUGGUAAGAGCUAUUUCUGCUGGUCCAUGAUUCCAAUAUCAUUUUUCUAUUUACCUCAUCUUUGAAGUCGCAGUAACUUUCUUUGUAUAUACGAUGUGAAUAUCUUUUGUUUCCUUACUUGAGCAAUUCGAAGUCAUGGAGUUCUUUUAUUGCUUUUCAGAUUUUGAAACUUGGUUAGAAGUUUUAGUAAUGGUAUCUAGUUUGACAAGAACUAUCUUACUUUUUGCCACUAUAUAUUUCGGAGCUGCGUACUUAUGAAUCCCUCCAUGUUUCACAUGCAUCUUUAAUUGCAUUGACCGUUUCCUCUCGACUGUGUUCAUUCCCGAUG